Molecule: non-coding RNA, 918 nt
Filed under: Melanophryniscus setiba (Restinga toadlet)
Lineage: Eukaryota; Metazoa; Chordata; Amphibia; Anura; Bufonidae
Description: partial 12S ribosomal RNA
Rfam family: Bacterial small subunit ribosomal RNA
Source: RNAcentral
UGGUCCUAGCCUUAAAGUCAGUUAUUACUUAGUAUACACAUGCAAGUCUCCGCCCCCCUGUGAAAACGCCCUUCUAACCCCAAUAGGGACAAGGAGUUGGUAUCAGGCACGAUAAUCUGCCCAAGACACCUAGCUAUGCCACGCCCACAAGGGAACUCAGCAGUGAUUAACAUUGAACAUAAGCGACAGCUUGAUUCAGCUAAAAUAAAGAGGGCCGGCAAAUCUGGUGCCAGCCGCCGCGGUUACACCACGUGGCCCAAAUUGAUCAUAUCGGCGUAAAGCGUGAUUUAAGUCAUUAUAUAUUAGGGUUAAACUUAAAUUAGGCCGUGACACGCUUAUCUCUAAGAAACUCAAAAACGAAAGUUACUCCAACUAAUUCAACUUGAACUCACGACAGCUGGGACACAAACUGGGAUUAGAUACCCCACUAUGCCCAGCCGUAAACUUUUAUUUACACCACAAUCGCCCGGGAACUACGAGCAAAGCUUAAAACCCAAAGGACUUGACGGUACCCCACAUCCCCCUAGAGGAGCCUGUCCUAUAAUCGAUAAUCCCCGUUCAACCUCACCACUUCUAGCCUACCAGCCUGUAUACCUCCGUCGCCAGCUUACCACGUGAGCGAAUCCUAGUGAGCUUAACGCCUUUCACCAAUACGUCAGGUCAAGGUGCAGUAAAUGAAGUGGGAAGAGAUGGGCUACACUCUCUAACAUAGAAGACACGAAAAACUAACUGAAAACUAGCUAGAAGGCGGAUUUAGAAGUAAAAAGAAAUCAGAAAGUUCUUUUUAACCUGGCACUGGGGUGUGUACACACCGCCCGUCACCCUCUUCAAAGCAACUUUUAAGUGUCUAACAAACUAACGCCCCAUAGAAGAGGCAAGUCGUAACAUGGUAAGCGUACCGGAAGGUGUGCUUGGAAA